Molecule: long non-coding RNA, 229 nt
Filed under: Volvox carteri
Lineage: Eukaryota; Viridiplantae; Chlorophyta; Chlorophyceae; Chlamydomonadales; Volvocaceae
Description: long non-coding RNA (VCAR_LNC000713)
Source: RNAcentral
GCGUUAUAUGCAGCCGUACAAAACAUAGCUUAAAGGAUGAGUAAAACGGUGCUGAUGAAAGGAGCUCCUAGCUAACGAAAAGCGUACUCCAAUAAGCCCUAUGUACCCUAGUGGUUACACACGAACUUGCGGGAGGUGAUAGCAAGGAAUGGGAUGGGACAGCUCGCUUGGGCUACUUUUCCACUUAAGCGCACAACAAGCAGUGGCUUUAGUUUUGCCCUAUGAAUGU